ACUCCUACGGGAGGCAGCAGUGGGGAAUAUUGCACAAUGGGGGAAACCCUGAUGCAGCCAUGCCGCGUGUGUGAAGAAGGCCUUCGGGUUGUAAAGCACUUUCUAGUAGGGAGGAAGGUAGUGUAGUUAACACCUGCAUUAUUUGUACGUUACCUACAGAAGAAGCACCGGCUAACUCCGUGCCAGCAGCCGCGGUAAUACGGAGGGUGCGAGCGUUAAUCGGAAUUACUGGGCGUAAAGCGCAUGCAGGCGGCCUGUUAAGUCAGAUGUGAAAGCCCGGGGCUUAACCUCGGAAUUGCAUUUGAAACUGGCAGGCUAGAGUCUUGUAGAGGGGUUAGAA
Molecule: ribosomal RNA, 340 nt
Filed under: uncultured bacterium
Lineage: Bacteria
Description: bacterial SSU rRNA
Rfam family: Bacterial small subunit ribosomal RNA
Source: RNAcentral